UUGAACUACCAGAAGGAGAGAAUGAAGGACAGGCCAUAAGCUCAAAAAAAUAAGAGAGACAGAAGCAGCCAAGACACUGAAAGAGAGUACGCAGUGAAGGCCAGCGCAUCUUUGCAACGGCAAGCGACUCCCAGGUGCCCGGUUUACAGAAUCCCUUCUGCAGGAUCUGGGGCAAGACACAGCCCAUGGGCUGCACUUUAUCCUUCUGCUGCUAACUGGUACAAAAAUGGAGUUCUCAGACCUCUGGACCCGGCCUCUCUCCUCAGAGCGAGGGGAAGGAAGUUCAGGACAAGAACACAAUGGGCAGGAUCAUCAAAACAGCUAAGAUAUUGAGGGGUGUAAAUACUUCUGAGCCAGCAUGAACAGUUGGACCAGGACUCUGGAGACCAGGGUUGGAUUCCCCGCUAGACCAUGGAAACCAUGGGAGGCUGGUGUGGUCCCUUCUUUGCUUUCUCUCCGCCAGGAGGCCCAAACCUUUUUGUUCACCCAGGCCUUUGAGCACUAACCAUCGGCGGAAGCAGG
This is a long non-coding RNA of Sceloporus undulatus (fence lizard), 522 nucleotides long. RefSeq lists it as uncharacterized. Lineage: Eukaryota; Metazoa; Chordata; Lepidosauria; Squamata; Phrynosomatidae. The record is from RefSeq and is a predicted model, not a curated record. The transcript is spliced from 6 exons.